GAAUUUUGCGCAAUGGGGGAAACCCUGACGCAGCAACACCGCGUGAAUGUUAAGCCCUUCGGGGUGUAAAGUUCUGUCAGUGGGGAAGAAUAAUGACUGUACCCACAAAGGAAGCACCGGCUAACUCCGUUCCAGCAGCCGCGGUAAUACGGGGGUGCAAGCGUUGUCCGGAAUCAUUGGGCGUAAAGCGUUCGUAGGGGGUAAAGUAAGUCAGAUGUUAAAGCCCGGGGCUCAACUCCGGUUCGGCAUUUGAUACUACUUAACUAGAAUGUGGUAGAGGUAAAGGGAAUUCCUGGUGUAGCGGUGAAAUGCGUAGAUAUCAGGAGGAACAUCGGUGGCGAAAGCGCUUUACUGGGCCAUUAUUGACGCUGAAGAACGAAAGCCAGGGGAGCAAAU
RNAcentral lists this ribosomal RNA (396 nucleotides) under uncultured bacterium. RNAcentral's name for it is "partial 16S ribosomal RNA". It matches the Rfam family "Bacterial small subunit ribosomal RNA", at positions 359 to 773 of the family's 1533-position model. The record is from RNAcentral.